AGCGAACGCUAGCGGCGGGCCUAACACAUGCAAGUCGAGCGGCAGCACGGCAGUAGCAAUACUGUGGGUGGCGAGUGGCGGACGGGUGAGGAAUACAUCGGGAUCUACCCUGUUGUGGGGGAUAACGUAGGGAAACUUACGCUAAUACCGCAUAAGAACUGAGGUUGAAAGCGGCGGACCGCAAGGCGUCGCGCGAUUGGAUGAACCGAUGUCCGAUUAGCUAGUUGGCGGGGUAAAGGCCCACCAAGGCGACGAUCGGUAGCUGGUCUGAGAGGACGACCAGCCACACUGGAACUGAGACACGGUCCAGACUCCUACGGGAGGCAGCAGUGGGGAAUAUUGGACAAUGGGCGCAAGCCUGAUCCAGCCAUGCCGCGUGGGUGAAGAAGGCCUUCGGUUGUAAAGACCCUUUUGUCCGGUAAAGAAAAGACAAUUCGGUUAAUACCCGGGUAGUUCGUGACGGUACCGAAGGAAUAAGCACCGGCUAACUU
This 491-nucleotide ribosomal RNA is filed under the name uncultured bacterium. RNAcentral describes it as "bacterial SSU rRNA". It matches the Rfam family "Bacterial small subunit ribosomal RNA", at positions 29 to 503 of the family's 1533-position model. The record is from RNAcentral.